UGAGGAAUAUUGGACAAUGGGCGCAAGCCUGAUCCAGCCAUGCCGCGUGCAGGAUGACGGUCCUAUGGAUUGUAAACUGCUUUUUGUACAGGAAGAAACAGUUCUACGUGUAGAACCUUGACGGUACUGUAAGAAUAAGGAUCGGCUAACUCCGUGCCAGCAGCCGCGGUAAUACGGAGGAUCCAAGCGUUAUCCGGAAUCAUUGGGUUUAAAGGGUCCGUAGGCGGUUAGAUAAGUCAGUGGUGAAAGCCCAUCGCUCAACGGUGGAACGGCCAUUGAUACUGUCUGACUUGAAUUAUUAGGAAGUAACUAGAAUAUGUAGUGUAGCGGUGAAAUGCUUAGAGAUUACAUGGAAUACCAAUUGCGAAGGCAGGUUACUACUAAUGGAUUGACGCUGAUGGACGAAAGCGUGGGUAGCGAACAGGAUUAGAUACCCUGGUAGUCCCUGAGCGGGCUGGCAAGGCGCAU
This 468-nucleotide ribosomal RNA is filed under the name uncultured bacterium. RNAcentral's name for it is "bacterial SSU rRNA". It matches the Rfam family "Bacterial small subunit ribosomal RNA", at positions 355 to 825 of the family's 1533-position model. The record is from RNAcentral.